GUAGGUGAACCUGCGGAAGGAUCAUUAACACAAAACUUCUAUAUCAACCUCGGCGCACUGUCUGAACCUUUUAGAGCGGAUGCUGAGACGGCAAUGGUUGGAAUUUAUCGGCCACUCAGCUAGGAUCCACCCAGGUCUUGCUAUGAACUUGAAAGUAGCAUGUGUCUGCGCUCGUACACUCCGUACGAUACGUGAGUUCCGAUUCGACUUUCUAAGGUAUUACAGCCUCAACCGUGGCUGGCCCUUUUUU
RNAcentral lists this unclassified non-coding RNA (250 nucleotides) under plant metagenome. RNAcentral's name for it is "partial contains small subunit ribosomal RNA, internal transcribed spacer 1, and 5.8S ribosomal RNA". The record is from RNAcentral.